Molecule: ribosomal RNA, 253 nt
Filed under: uncultured bacterium
Lineage: Bacteria
Description: partial 16S ribosomal RNA
Rfam family: Bacterial small subunit ribosomal RNA
Source: RNAcentral
UACGAAGGGGGCUAGCGUUGCUCGGAAUCACUGGGCGUAAAGCGCACGUAGGUGGAUCGCUAAGUCAGGGGUGAAAUCCUGGAGCUCAACUCCAGAACUGCCUUUGAUACUGGCAAUCUCGAGUCCGGGAGAAGUGAGUGGAACUGCGAGUGUAGAGGUGAAAUUCGUAGAUAUUCGCAAGAACACCAGUGGCGAAGGCGGCUCACUGGCCCGGUACUGACGCUGAGGUGCGAAAGCGUGGGGAGCAAACAGG